CAGUCGCCGCGGUAAUACGUAGGUGGCAAGCGUUGUCCGGAAUUAUUGGGCGUAAAGCGCGCGCAGGUGGUUUAAUAAGUCUGAUGUGAAAGCCCACGGCUCAACCGUGGAGGGUCAUUGGAAACUGUUAAACUUGAGCGCAGGAGAGAAAAGUGGAAUUCCUAGUGUAGCGGUGAAAUGCGUAGAGAUUAGGAGGAACACCAGUGGCGAAGGCGGCUUUUUGGCCUGUAACUGACACUGAGGCGCGAAAGCGUGGGGAGCAAAUAGGAUUAGAUACCCCCGUAGUCCCUGUCUCUUAUAC
This 301-nucleotide ribosomal RNA is filed under the name uncultured bacterium. RNAcentral's name for it is "partial 16S ribosomal RNA". It matches the Rfam family "Bacterial small subunit ribosomal RNA", at positions 509 to 807 of the family's 1533-position model. The record is from RNAcentral.